UCCACACUGGAUGAAAGGAGAAGGCUGCUGGUAAUUUAGGAGAUGGUCAAGGACAGGGAGACCUGGCGUACUGCGGUCCAUGGGGUUGCAAAGAGUCAGACACUUGGUGACUAAACAAAUGAAACCGAUCAUGAUGUUGAGCCUCAGAGAGGUUAAGGAAACUUCCCCAAGGUUCCAUGGCCAGUUAUCCCAGUCUCAAUGAAGCACCAAAUGAUGGAGCGCUAGAUUGAACUGGAUUUGAAGAAUUCAGGGAGGCCGCUGCUGACUUCCAUUAACUCCCUUGGAGCACCUAGCAAGCAUGGACUGAUG
Long non-coding RNA from Dama dama (fallow deer), 309 nucleotides. RefSeq lists it as uncharacterized. NCBI's taxonomy places the organism in Eukaryota, Metazoa, Chordata, Mammalia, Artiodactyla, Cervidae. The transcript is spliced from 3 exons. The record is from RefSeq and is a predicted model, not a curated record.